This 405-nucleotide unclassified non-coding RNA is filed under the name Hevea brasiliensis (rubber tree). The record is from RNAcentral. Lineage: Eukaryota; Viridiplantae; Streptophyta; Magnoliopsida; Malpighiales; Euphorbiaceae.
CUUGGGCUUUCUUCGCCAGACGCAUACCUCAUAGAGCUGAGUUGUUUUUUUGUUUCCAUUUCCGCCUCCCUCUCUUUUCCCUUUUGAGUUUCUCACUAUUAGGCUUCUCAAUUCCUCUGCCGUGUCUGUCUUCACUUAUUUCAAGUCCUAUACCUUUUUCUUCUUCUUCUUUUUCUUCUUCCUGGCGAAGGCGUUUCCUACCUCUGGAUGAGUCCGGAAUCUGAGGCAUGUUUCUGUUAGAUUUUCCGAGCAAACGGGAUUCCAUAAUUUAAAUUUAGCGCCGUAUUUGAACAGAAUCUCUUCGUUCGCGCUCCUGGUUUUCCAGGCUCCCUAUUUUUUUCACUCGGCUGAUUGCGAGCCCUUAAAAGAGGCUCUCAUUUGUACUCCUGUGGAACUUUGGUCAGC